GUCCUGAUUUUUUAGGAUAUCAAGAAAAGAGAGGAUAAGCGCCAAGACAGAGGGCAAUAGACUGCCCCUGUGCCCUUCAUACUGAAACCUUCCUAGAUUACUGAGAAUGGUCCUAAGAAAUCGGGUCAGAGGAUUACUAAUAUAUUUACAUAUAUAUAUUUUUUACCUCAUUAGCUGGUCAACCCAGGAGGCAAACAUUGCCACCCGUGCCCAAGCAACUGCUCCAAGGAGCUGACGGCGGUUGCCUGCAUCGAGUUCCCCGCCGGCGGCUCCUUCUGGCCGGACACCCUGUGCCAAAGAGCGCCCGGGGAAGCAGACAGCAAUAGGGGAGUACACAGAUGUCAUGGAUGCACAGGCAUGAUUGUAAUCUGACCAGAAAGGAGAGCGAGGCAAGGCGACCGCCGGCGGAUCCGAGUCGGGGAGCCUCGGCAAUUGGGCUGCCGGCAGUGCGUGCGCGCACAGGUGCCUCGGGCCGGCGGCGCCGGGAGCUAGCGCAGCCGCCUCUCGGCCUCAGCACUCUCACCAGCGUGCCGAAGACCCGGCUGCGGCCGAGCCUGGCCACCCCCAGCCCAAGCCGCGGGAGGAAGAGCCCAAGGAAAGGGCGCGAAGGGGGAAGGAGGGGAGGGGAGGGGAGGUGAGGGGAGGUGGGGGGGGGAAGAGACCCUACUCCUCCUCGCCGAGAUCUCCUCCCCGAGCCCUUCUGGUGGGAACCUUGGCGGGGCUCGCGCGCCCCCCCCUCCCUCCUCCCCACUCUGGGAGUCCGUCUCCCCUCUCCCCUUGCUCCCCCCCACCUCCCUUCUCUUCCCUCCCUCCCUGCCGCGUGCCUCGUCCCCUCCCCCUCGUCUCCCUCCCUCGCAGCGGCGGCAGCAGUAGCCGCUUCAGCAGAGCCGGAGAUGGGCAGAGAGCGCGCGCGGCGCAGCAGCUCCGGAUACGCCGCCCUCCCCGCCCGCAGCUCCCCGCUCCCCCGCCGCCGCUGUCGCCGCCUCGGCGUCCCCCGGCUCCAGUCUCGCUCCUAGGACAGCGCCGCUGCCACCGCUCGGCCCUGCCCGCCGCCUGCGCCGCGCAGCUCUCACUCGCUCCUGGAUGGCGCUUUCCACCCCGGACCGGUUUAGAAUGUAAUAAUUCAAGAAUUUUAUCAUCAAGUGGAAUAGCUUAACAACUGUCUAUGUGCUUCCCAUGAUAUGUUCUCUACAGUAAAAUAUGCUUUUUGAAAGGCUUAAUUCCAAACUGAUCAUAAAUGUGGACCAACAACCAGCACCCACACCCAAUGAAAUUAGUUAUUCACCAUAAUAUGGUAAGGCUAGAACAUAGCACUUGGUGACUUAAACAUCAAGGUAACAUUUAUACUGUUGGAAGGUACUUUCACUGCUAUGUUAUUAAAACAGUGGGGAUCCUAUUUAUACAUUUAUUUAUUUAUUUACAGACAUUUGGUUCAUUCAGGUUAUUUUAACAGCUUCAGUGAAGUUAAUAUAGUGGUAUGAAAACCUGACUCUAGCUACUAUUCCAAGUGAAAAUCUUGCUACUGAGUCUUGCUACAUCUUGGAGUCAAGCAGUAAUCCAAAUAAUGAGUAACAAGUCCCAGCAAUGUGGAGGCCAACUUCCCGGACCAGGAUGUUGUAUGUUUAUGACAUUUAGCAAACAUUAAUCUGGGCUCUUAGUUUGCUACCAUACUGUCCCCUAUAUUGAUUCAACCUGUAAAUAGCAUAACACAUUAUGGCAGCUAAGCAAAUAUGUUAAUAAGCCAUGAGAGGCAAAAUGCCAUUGAAGAUCUGUAUAUUCAGCUAUUUGGAGAACUUGUGUUUUCCACAAAUUAAACUGGAGAUGUCAUUUGAGAUUUUCUUCCCUUAAAAAUGCCAUUAUAAUUUGGAUUCCUUGCCAUUGAUGUAUUUCUGGGCUUAUAAAUAUAUGAUGUAAUUGCUAUAGUUAUAAUUUUGUGAAAUUUUGUUUACCAAUUAAUAGUGACUUCAAUCUGUGCUAUGAUCCCCAGGCAGAAAUAAAUGUAUAAAAGAUUUGAGCCUGUAUAUGUAAGCAGAAAUCUCUUCAAUCAUAUUUCCUAUAUUCAGUGUAAGUACUUCACUGAUUUAUCACUAGAAUUAUUCCUUGGAUAUGUAAAUAACGAUGUUCUAUUCAGGCCUAAUGAACUCUGUACUGUGAAUAUUUAAAAUAAAAAGAAUUCAAUUUAAAUGUGCAAUACUUACUGCUGGUUAUUUAUAAUGCUCACAUUCAAAAUC
Molecule: long non-coding RNA, 2231 nt
Organism: Bos grunniens (domestic yak)
Lineage: Eukaryota; Metazoa; Chordata; Mammalia; Artiodactyla; Bovidae
Source: Ensembl